Molecule: ribosomal RNA, 518 nt
Filed under: uncultured bacterium
Lineage: Bacteria
Description: partial 16S ribosomal RNA
Rfam family: Bacterial small subunit ribosomal RNA
Source: RNAcentral
GACGAACGCUGGCGGCGUGCCUAAUACAUGCAAGUCGAGCGAGCUUGCCUAGAUGAAUUUGGUGCUUGCACCAAAUGAAACUAGAUACAAGCGAGCGGCGGACGGGUGAGUAACACGUGGGUAACCUGCCCAAGAGACUGGGAUAACACCUGGAAACAGAUGCUAAUACCGGAUAACAACACUAGACGCAUGUCUAGAGUUUAAAAGAUGGUUCUGCUGUCACUCUUGGAUGGACCUGCGGUGCAUUAGCUAGUUGGUAAGGCAACGGCUUACCAAGGCAAUGAUGCGUAGCCGAGUUGAGAGAGUGAUCGGCCAAAUUGGAAAUGAGACACGGCCCAAACUCCUAAGGGAGGCAGCAGUAGGGAAUCUUCAGAAAUGGGCGAAAGUCUGAGGGAGAAACGCCGCGUGAGUGAAGAAGGGUUUGGGAUCGUAAAGCGCUGUUGGGAGGGAAGAAAAAAGGGGUAAGUAACUGUCCUUUUUUGGACGGGAAUUAUGAGAAAGACACGGCUAAACAAGGG